UACAGAGGUGGCAAGCGUUGUUCGGAAUUACUGGGCGUAAAGGGCGCGUAGGCGGUCUUCUAAGUCAGACGUGAAAUCCCCCGGCUUAACCUGGGAACUGCGUCUGAUACUGGAAGGCUUGAGUGCGGGAGAGGGAUGUGGAAUUCCAGGUGUAGCGGUGAAAUGCGUAGAUAUCUGGAGGAACACCGGUGGCGAAGGCGGCAUCCUGGACCGACACUGACGCUGAGGCGCGAAAGCUAGGGUAGCAAACGGG
Molecule: ribosomal RNA, 253 nt
Filed under: uncultured bacterium
Lineage: Bacteria
Description: partial 16S ribosomal RNA
Rfam family: Bacterial small subunit ribosomal RNA
Source: RNAcentral